This is an RNA transcript of Girardinichthys multiradiatus, 3900 nucleotides long. It is a transcript of the gene named beta-1,3-glucuronyltransferase 1 (glucuronosyltransferase P) b, with no coding region annotated. Lineage: Eukaryota; Metazoa; Chordata; Actinopteri; Cyprinodontiformes; Goodeidae. The record is from RefSeq and is a predicted model, not a curated record. The transcript has 7 exons.
AAGCACAGAGUGAGCUUCCCAUUCCCACCAGCUAUUCAGUCAUCCAUUCAUUCAGAGAUACAGCGUCUCUGGUGAAUGGCACCAACCGCAGCACAAUGUGUGUGAAAUCUUCCUUACUACGAUCAUUUGGUGGCAGAGACAGCAGAAGAGGAAGCAGCAUGCAGGGAUGUUAUUUUUCUGCGGCUUCAGUGUGCAAUUAAGUGGCUGGCACUGAGGACGCAACCCUGGGACCUGAGGCUUAGAUUGCCACCACUGGAUGGUGUGAGCAAAGUGCACAAGUUGUCAACCUGAUCAACCUUACUGCUCACCGUUUUCUACUUUUCUUCCUGAAAGAGGAAUUAACAGAUCGCUGUGUUUAUCAGAUGCUGACUCUAUACUAGAAAAACUCCUCACAGCCCAACAGGAUUAGACGUGCAGGAUCCUUAUUCAUGUAUACAGUGAGAUGUCUUGGCGGCCACCCUGGAGAUGCCGAAGAGACGAGACAUUGUUGCCAUUGUACUGAUUGUGUUGCCUUGGACGCUGCUCGUCAGUGUUUGGCACCAAAGACAGGCCUCUGUCCUAGCUGCUCAAAAAGCUGACAAAUUAAGAGGUCGCUCGGACUCAAGAGCCUUAAAGGAAUCCUUCUCACUUCAGAACAAUGACAUUGUGCACGUGGUCCGAACUGAGUAUGUAUACAGCCGGCCCCCGCCCUGGUCCAAAAUCCUUCCUACUCUCCACAUCAUCACUCCUACUUACAGCCGCCCAGUUCAGAAGGCUGAGCUGACCCGACUGGCCAACACGCUGCUUCACAUAUCAAACCUGCACUGGAUCGUGGUGGAGGACUCCCAGAGGAGGACCGCUCUGGUCAGUCGCUUCCUUCAGGAAACAGACCUUAACUACACCCAUCUCAAUGUGGAGACACCUUUGAACUAUAAAACUAGAGGGGAUGGUAGGAACCCCAGAGUACCCCGUGGCACCUUGCAGAGGAACCUGGCCCUACGAUGGCUACGAGAGACCUUCACCGUGAACUACAGCCAGCCUGGAGUUGUUUACUUUGCAGAUGAUGACAACACAUACAGUCUGCAACUGUUUGAAGAGAUGAGGUCCACUAAAAAGGUGUCUGUGUGGCCAGUGGCAUUUGUGGGUGGGCUACGAUACGAGUCACCCAAAAUAAAUACCAGAGGCAAGGUGCAUGGCUGGAAAACUGUCUUUGACCCACAUCGGCCCUUUGCUAUAGACAUGGCUGGGUUUGCAGUGAACCUAAGCCUAAUUCUGUCCAAACCUCAGGCUUAUUUCAAGCUGCGAGGGGUGAAGGGAGGAUACCAGGAGAGUAGUUUACUGAGGGAAUUGGUGACUCUGAGCGAGUUGGAACCUAAAGCUUCAAACUGCACUAAGGUAUUAGUUUGGCACACACGAACAGAGAGGCCUGUGCUGGUAAAUGAGGGCAAGAAAGGAUUUACAGACUCUAACGUGGAGAUAUGACUUAUUUGAUUCUACACAGGUAAUAGCAGAGAUUUAGAAAUGCAAAUUAAUGCAGUUCUGCACAGUAAUUAUUUUGGGGAAACGGCCCAAGCUAGGAGAGUGUAGUUCAUACAGGACACUCCAUGGGUGUAACUAACAACAUCCCUGUCCUGUAAAUGUUUAAGAAAAGAAGUUGUUAUUUAUGACUGUUAUUCUGAGAACAUAAAGCAGUUUACCUUAAGGGUAUUUAGCAACCAAUUUACAUACAGUCAUGGUAAGAUAAGUUUUUUUUAACCUCCACACCCCCUAUUGUUUUCCACUUAUCUAACAUUGAGUCAUGGAGGUAACAGGUCCAGGAGAGAAACCCAGACAUCCCUCAUCCCAACAAAACUCUCCAGUAUCCAUUUCCUCAUUUUGUAUUCACGCAUUGAAUUUUCACCUUUCCACUUCCAUAUUUUACCAAUGUACGGAAACUGGAAAAACAUAGUAUGCCUAAAUCUCACUUUUAUUUUUAUUUUAUUUUCAGAACACAUAUCGGACACAAAUUCCAUUUAUUAGGAUUCUGAUCCCAGGUUGUCAUGUUUGUUUAGGGAAGGACCCAAUUCAGAUAUACGGGCAACAGCUCUUUAAUAAAUAAAAUAAACAAACUUAAAGGGGGUGUGGCCAUGGAAAACAGGAAAUUAAGCAUAAGCAGAAAAACAGGCAGACUGGUUUAGGAGUGAAGUAUAUGAUCCAGCGGAGAAGAAUAAAAACCAGAGACCUUAUAUGCUGAGAGAGGUGUGGAAAAUGACAUUGGAUGCCGGACAAUAUGGAGGAGCUGAGGCAGAAGGAAAGAAAACUUCACUGGGAUCUGUCUGGACUCAAACCAACCAAAGAGCUCCUGUGGCCAAAAAUAUAACAACAGCAAAAUAGCUGCACUUAACCUCGGCUACAGAAAUGGAAGCACCGAGCCAUGUGCAUGUACUGAACUCAACGUAUCAAAGCACAACUGCAGAGGAACUUUGUGGCCUGUUCUGCUGCGGAGCACUGGGCUGACAGUGGGAGGAGCUGCCAAAUGGAUCCUGCCUAGUACGGUCAACACAGAGAGCUGAGUCAAUGGAUGUUACCAAACCUAAAGUUCAGAGAGUUGACCACUGUCCAAUAAAGAUCCCUCUUAGCACAGACGCCACCAGCUAAGCAUCCAAUAAGCAUUUAAUAGGGCUCCUUUGUUCUGAGGCCAUCGGGCUGUUGGACACAGAGUUGCACACAGGAAUCAAAGAAAUCCUUGUUUGAAGUAAUGCAGCACAGACUGGCAGAUAGAGCUGACGGGAUCUGAGCCCCCCUCUAUUAGUACUGUACAACACUAGCCUAUUUAGAUACCACCCUGAACCCUUCACUAAAUAGGAGUUGUAUUUCUGCUCAGCACACAUUCACUUAAUCAGCUGACACACACAACCCAAUGCAAUGAUUUGUUAUUGUCAAACACAAGCAACCUUUCACAUUCAUGUGUUAUCAGCACUUCCUGAUAUGCUGCAAGAACUACUGAGCUGUUCUCCUAUUAAAGAGAAGAUUCAGUUUUUUUAAUGAUCUGUGAACUUCACAGGUUUGCUAUUAGCUAGUUAAACCAGCAAGCAGUUUCUGCUUGUUGAUUAUGGAACUGCUUGAACAUUAUGGAAAACUGUGGAACACAGAGCCAUGACUCCAAACAGUAUUCAAUAUUCUUCUUACACAUACUGAUUAUUCCCAGUGCUGCUUGCAAAUGGUGAUUUCUUCCAAGACAGAGUUGCAGUAGCACUCUUGAACAUGUCAAAACUCUGUACUGUUCUGGCUUUGAAGAGUUUGGUGGGUUCUCUGUGUACCUGGUAGUAUAAUGUAUGAUGUUAUAGUGUUGGCUGGGUUUCAUGAGAAAGUCAUUUACUUCUGUCCCAUAAAACUAAUUUUUGUUACACAAAUGUGCAUGUUUUCAUUUAAUUCUCCAGCCUGAAACACACACCCGAUAGUUACAUUUAUAACAGCCAAUCAAGGACAGGGCGGUAAGUAUUUGACUGGAAACUCCCAGGUGACAGGCUGUGAUAACUCUACUCUGGAGAUUCAUUGUAUCCAAAUAUAUUGUAAAUGACAAAACAUUGUUCAAAGGUUUAUAUCCCUUUAGCCUUUUCAUAUUUUAUCCCUAUAAAACCACAAACUUUGAUGUAUUUUAUUGAAAUUUGAUGUGAUAGGCCAACUCAAAGCACAUAAUUUAAGAAGUGAAGAAACAUAAAAAGACAAUGAGAAAUAGUUAGCAUCAUAUCUUAAUAAAAACUUUGAAAACGUGUGGCAUGGAUUUCUAGUCAGUCCUUUGAAUCAAUACCUUGUAGAACUGUCCUUUACUGUGAUUACAGCUGCAACUGCCAAGGUGUGUGUUUCCUCCAGCUUUGUACAACUAGAAACUGAAAUGUUACCCUAUUUCUCUGAAUAAAAUAGUUGAAACUCAGACUGAAA